UUCCGUAGGUGACCUGCGGAAGGAUCAUUGUCAAAACCUGCAAAGCAGCACGACCCGCGAACUCGUACACCAAACUGGGGAGAGGCRGGGGGGGUAAGGUAAACCUUCCUCCUCUGUCUUCCUCUCUGUCGGGGCAUUGCUCUGAGCCCUCUCAUGGAAGUGACGAUGCGUUCCCCGGCCUAACAACGAACCCCGGCGCGAACCGCGCCAAGGAARCUGAAMAAGAGAGCGCGACCCCGGGGCCCCGUUUUGCGGGUGCCAAGGGGUAGUGUGCCUUCUAUAAGAAAUUAAACGACUCUCGGCAACGGAUAUCUCGGCUCUCGCAUCGAUGAAGAACGUARCGAAAUGCGAUACUUGGUGUGAAUUGCAGAAUCCCGUGAACCAUCGAGUUUUUGAACGCAAGUUGCGCCCGAAACCAUUAGGUCGAGGGCACGCCUGCCUGGGCGUCUCACAUCMCCCUGCGCCCCUCCCAGCACUCCUUCUGGCGUCUGGUGUCUGGGGCGUGGUAUAUUGGCCCCCCGUGCCCAGUGGAGCGCGGUCGGCCUAAAAUGGCACACACGACAUCUGUCGACACAAAACAGUGGUUGGCGAUUAGUCGUUACUAUCCUGUGGUGUCGCUUGCGGUGUCGGUUGUGUUGCUAGACCCAGAGUGCCGUUGCGACGGUGCCUCGGUGCGACCCC
This 681-nucleotide unclassified non-coding RNA is filed under the name Styrax suberifolius. RNAcentral's name for it is "partial contains small subunit ribosomal RNA, internal transcribed spacer 1, 5.8S ribosomal RNA, and internal transcribed spacer 2". The record is from RNAcentral. Lineage: Eukaryota; Viridiplantae; Streptophyta; Magnoliopsida; Ericales; Styracaceae.